UACGGAGGGAGCUAGCGUUGUUCGGAAUUACUGGGCGUAAAGCGCACGUAGGCGGCUUUGUAAGUUAGAGGCGAAAGCCCGGGGCUCAACUCCGGAACUGCCUUUAAGACUGCAUCGCUUGAAUCCAGGAGAGGUGAGUGGAAUUCCGAGUGUAGAGGUGAAAUUCGUAGAUAUUCGGAAGAACACCAGUGGCGAAGGCGGCUCACUGGACUGGUAUUGACGCUGAGGUGCGAAAGCGUGGGGAGCAAACAGG
This 253-nucleotide ribosomal RNA is filed under the name uncultured bacterium. RNAcentral's name for it is "partial 16S ribosomal RNA". It matches the Rfam family "Bacterial small subunit ribosomal RNA", at positions 524 to 776 of the family's 1533-position model. The record is from RNAcentral.